AGAUCAUGAUGAGGGCACCGCCUAAGCAAGUCCUUGUAUCUUUCCUAGGCCUCAUAUAAUGAUUCAGAAUCUAGCUGCAUGAACAAUGUGAUUUCAUUUUUCAUUUU
RNAcentral lists this small nucleolar RNA (107 nucleotides) under Theobroma cacao (cacao). RNAcentral describes it as "Plant small nucleolar RNA R71". It matches the Rfam family "Plant small nucleolar RNA R71". From Rfam's summary of the family: R71 is a member of the C/D box family of snoRNAs containing the C (UGAUGA) and D (CUGA) box motifs. Multiple nearly identical copies of this snoRNA have been identified in Arabidopsis, and it is thought to function as a 2'-O-ribose methylation guide for 18S ribosomal RNA. The record is from Rfam by way of RNAcentral. Lineage: Eukaryota; Viridiplantae; Streptophyta; Magnoliopsida; Malvales; Malvaceae.